RNAcentral lists this ribosomal RNA (859 nucleotides) under uncultured euryarchaeote. RNAcentral describes it as "bacterial SSU rRNA". It matches the Rfam family "Archaeal small subunit ribosomal RNA", at positions 1 to 879 of the family's 1478-position model. Lineage: Archaea; Methanobacteriati; Methanobacteriota. The record is from RNAcentral.
UUCCGGUUGAUCCUGCCGGAGGCGACCGCUUUGGGAGUUCGAUUAAGCCAUGCGAGUCGUGAGUCUUAGGGACUCGGCAUACUGCUCAGUAACACGUGGAUAACCUGCCCUAUCGUCUGGAAUAACCUCGGGAAACUGAGAAUAAGGCCGGAUAGUUCACAAUGCCUGGAACGGUUUGUGAAUCAAGGUAGGAUGGGUCUGCGGCGUAUCAGGUUGUAGGGGGUGUAAAGGACCCCCUAGCCUUCGACGCGUACGGGUGUUGGGAGACAUAGCCCGGAGAUGGAUUCUGAGACACGAAUCCAGACCCUACGGGGUGCAGCAGGCGCGAAAACUUCACACUGCAGGAAACUGUGAUGAGGGAACUCCUAGUGCAUGCACUAUGUGUAUGUAGAUCCUACUCUUAACAAGUAGAGGGAAAGGGCUGGGAAAGACCGGUGCCAGCCGCCGCGGUAAUACCGGCAGCUCAAGUGGUCGUCGCUUUUAUUGGGCCUAAAACGUCCGUAGCCUGUUUGGUAAAUCUGUGGGUAAAUCAAUCCGCUCAACGGAUUGAAUUCUGCAGAGACUGCCAGACUAGGGACCGGGAGGGGUGUGGGGUACUCGAGGGGUAGGGGUAAAAUCCUGUCAUCCUUCGAGGACCACCAGUUGCGAAGGCGCCACACUGGAAUGGAUCCGACGGUCAGGGACGAAGCCUAGGGGCACGAACCGGAUUAGAUACCCGGGUAGUCCUAGGUGUAAACGCUGUGAACUUGGUGUCGGGGGUCCGCAAAGGGUCCCCGGUGCCCGGAGUGAAGAUGUUAAGUUCACUGCCUGGGGAGUACGGUCGCAAGGCUGAAACUUAAAGGAAUUGGCGGGGCAGCAC